GUAGUAAUGGACUUCAUCGCUUUCGUAAGGAAGAGGAAAGUCCGGACACCAUAGAGCAGCAUAGCGGAUAACAUCCGUCCACCGUAAGGUGAGGACAAGUGCAGCAGAAAGCAAGUACAGUUCGGCUGUAGUGAAAACAGGUAAACUCUAUGCGGUGCAAUGUCACGUAUACCGAGAACAGGGACUGCUCGUUCAAUCUCGGGGGGUAGGCAGCUCAAGCUAGUUAGUAAUAACUAGCGUAGAUAAAUGAUGAGGCUCGAAAGAGAACAGAAUCCGGCUUAUGAAUUACUACCUGC
RNAcentral lists this RNase P RNA (296 nucleotides) under Flavobacteriales bacterium. RNAcentral describes it as "RNase P RNA component class A". It matches the Rfam family "Bacterial RNase P class A". Rfam says of the family: Ribonuclease P (RNase P) is a ubiquitous endoribonuclease, found in archaea, bacteria and eukarya as well as chloroplasts and mitochondria. Its best characterised activity is the generation of mature 5'-ends of tRNAs by cleaving the 5'-leader elements of precursor-tRNAs. Cellular RNase Ps are ribonucleoproteins. Lineage: Bacteria; Pseudomonadati; Bacteroidota; Flavobacteriia; Flavobacteriales. The record is from RNAcentral.